This 6138-nucleotide long non-coding RNA is filed under the name Heterocephalus glaber (naked mole-rat). RNAcentral's name for it is "lncRNA (ENSHGLG00000038004.1)". The record is from RNAcentral. Lineage: Eukaryota; Metazoa; Chordata; Mammalia; Rodentia; Bathyergidae.
CCUCUGAGUCCUCGUUCCGCCUGAAAGGAGACUGAGGCCCUUUAGUUUCCUUCCCGCUCAGCACAGUUCUCCUCUGCUUGUUCAGAGCCAGAGCCAAUGGAGGCGGAGACUGGGAAUCAGCAUAGUCUCCGUGCAGUGCACAGAGGCACUGUCUGGAGGUGCCGACCUUGAGAACAGAACUUUGUCCCUCUUGGGUCCCUGUAAUGCAGGGCACACCUGGGACCUAUUUGGGACUUUGCAGGGACAGCUGCCGGUACCUGACAGGCCCGGAGCCUCCGGAUCAUCUGCAGGCCCAUUUGGAUGGCCCUGUUGGGGAGAGGCAGGAGGUGCAGCUGGAGGAGGUAGAGGAAGGACAGACAGCUCGUCUGCACGGAAGGAGGCAGCGCGGAUGUUUGCAGCGACAGAUGGCAGCAUCCGGCAGAGCCCUGGAAGCCGGGUGAGGAGAGGAGGGGAGGCCGGCCAGACUCCUCUGCAGCUCUCAGGCCUCCCGCACAAGCUCAGCCUGCCUGGCACACACGUGGAGAUUCUCCCCUCCCUGUGUGGCGCUAAGGCACCUUGGUGAGCUCCUCAUGGUCCACAUGGGCUGCGAGUGUGUGGGAUGGCCUGGGGCGACUGGAGAAGUCUGUUCACCUGGCCCUUUGGGAGCCAAGUGGAGGAGGCUCCAGAUCAGCCCCAGAAACCCUGUUCGCUGUUCUCAGUGAGGGCGUCUGCCACGAGACUGGGGCCAGAGGGGCCAUGUAGGGAUGAGGAGUGGCGGUGACUGGGAGGUGAGGAUGGCCAGAAAGUGCUAGUCUCCCAUCAUCCCUCUGUCUUGGUGAACUCCGCUGUAUCUUAGAAUCCUGCUUGACCCGGCUCUUCAGGAAGCUGCCCUGGCAGGCCGGGCUGAGCCUGAAGAUGCCUGGCCUGGCUCUGUGGCCUCUGUGAGCCCCGGCCCCUCCUGGCCUCAGUUCUAGCUGGAGGAAACAGGACUCCCUCCUCAUCCUGGGAAGGCGGUCUCUUCCUCUCAGCGGGACUUUGAAGAGGCCGUGAAGAACCCACAGGGCCCUGCAGCAGUGGAACCAGACACCCAGAUUCACCACCCUGGAGUCGUUCCCAGCCUAGCACAGAGCCUGGGAAACAGAUGGAGAAAGCGUAGGGUGGGAGGGCCCAACAUCCUGGGCGGCUGGGGAAAUGACAGCAGCCGGGAUCCCAGCACUUAGCAUGGGUCAGUUAACAAUGCAUCCGGCCCCACCCAGCCUGUGAGGAGCCCCUUCUGUUCCUCACGCUCACACACCUGAAACUGACUCUCUGCUGGGCUCACUUGUCCACACUGCUGCUACUACCACCGCCACAGGGCCAGGAUUAGACCCCAGACAACCUGGACCGGAAGUCCACACUCCCAUCCACGGAACUACAAAACAAAAUGAAAACCAUCUCUCCCUCUGGCAGGGAUGACGGAUAAUAGGUUUGAUGCCAUCAAGUGCUGCUGAGGUCACCUCACCACCACCACCACCACGGGGAGCCCACGUCUGAUUACCUAGGGAGCCCCAAGAGUUCGGGUCAGAGUGGAGCGAACAGCUCUUUCAUCUCAUCUGCGUUUAGGUUGCCAUGCAGGAAAGAGUCGUGCAUUGCUUUGGUUUGUAACUCAUUUAAAAGGAGAAUGGGGGCAGUGAUACAGGGACAGCAUGUGCGAGGCCCGAGUUGCAUCCUUAGCCCAUCCCCCAAACAGAUGGGGGAGUAUGUUGGGGAAAGGGAAUCAAAGAUGGACAGAAUGGAAGGCUCUCAGACAGUUGUCCCUGACCGUGACCUCCUGCAGGCUUUGUCUGGGCGAGGCCUGUUCUUUUAUUGGGCACAUAUGUAUUUUCUGGGGGCCCCUAGGUCCUCGGCUCUGUGCCGGGCUGUGUGCUCUCCCCAGGCACACCCAGGGUGUGUCCCGACAGAGGGGCUCCCCUUCUGUCCCUGUCUGGGCGCUCUGUGGUAACAAGGUCAGGGCUGCAGGGAGGAGCCAGUUCUGGCCAGAGCUCUGAUCUGUGACGGGCUGUUCCCCGGAGCAGCUGCUACAACAACAUUUACUUUGUACAGUGGCCAAGAGAGAGAGCAAGAAAAGGAAGAGAGAGAGAGAGAGAGAGAGAGAGAGAGAGAGAGAGAGAGAGAGAGACAGAGGGAGAGAGCACACAAGCCUACUCUAUUGCAAAAUGUUUCUGACAAAAUCUGGCACUCCUGGUUCUAAUCAAAAUACUGAACUUUGGAACAAAUUAACAUUCCACAGCCCUCACUGGGAAGGAGAAUUCAGCCGAGACGACUUCAGUUCACAACAACAAAAAUAGCUUCUCCCGGGGAAGACACAUUCUGCUAACAAGGUCACUUGUGUUUUGCUUCCCCUGCCAUCUGGCUGAGCGGCAACCAGGGGCUGGCACUGGUACCAGCGUCUUGUGUGGAGAGGGGCUGGGAACCGGGUGGUGCCGCUGAAGGCUUCUCAGCCUCCUGGCAAAGGGUGUAGGCGUGGAGUUACCUUCAGACAGUCCCAGAACUGGGGCAGAUGGAGCCCAGUCUCACCCAGCCGGGCUCAGCUUCGAGCUCCGAGCAGCAGGAGGUGUGACACCAGCACACAGCAACAAGCAGGUGGCCCUCGAGGUGGCCCUGGAGAUGGGCAGAGAGAACGCAGUGUCCAACUCUUUCAGUCAGAGGCUGUGCUAAGUGGCUCCUGAUUCCAGCUGAUGCUUGUCCCAGCCAACCUCCCUCUUGCAGAUCUGGAGGCCAGAAGUGUGAAAUCAAGAUGUUGUCAGGGCUCUGUUCCUUCUGAGACCUUCUGAGACCUUCUUUGCCUCCUCCCAUUUUCUGGCACACCAGUCAUAUUGGAUUAAAGGCCCAAGACUCCAUUCUGACCUCAUCUUGGCUAAUUGCAUCUCCAUGACCCUAUUUCCAAAUAAGGUCACAAUCUCAGGCUGCUCUGCUCUGAGACCACUGGCACCGUGAGCAGAUGGCAUGACUUGGCUGUCCCCUGCUCCUGCCUCCGUGCACCUGGGACCUGUGGGUGGCCUCGUUUGCAUGGAGGAAAAAGAUAAUAUCCCUAUUUAUUACAAAGACUCAGGCAUUUGAAGGACCCAACCAAUGGUGUGACAUGUGUGGGCACAUGAACUUCACCUUGGAUGCCCCAGAAGUUUCUAGAGCUGACUUCCUUUAACUAGAAGGAAUAUGACUGUGGUCUUAGAAGAAAGACAUUACCUGGAGGAAGUUGAAAGCCAGCAUGCAGAGAAGGAAGACUACGGAAGGGCUCAGGCAGCUACACAGCUCUGCAGAACAAAAUGUUCUUGUCCAGGCCAUGGGGCCACAGGCUGGGACAGAGGGGAGGAACAAUGAUGUCAUGGAAUGAGAAGGAGUUGGGAACACUAUUGGAAUGAAUGUUCCAUUGAUUACACGAGUUGCUGACAAGCAACAGCAGAAAUGGAGCUGGGUGAUCAGUCUCAAAUUCUCCCCCUGACAUUUGCAAGAAAAGUGGUGAACACAUCCCAGACACCCACUUCCUACCCCCGUUAUGUGUAUGAGACGCUGGAAGCAGCAAGGACUCGGAUUCUCCCCUUGAGCCACCAGGAGGAACACAGCCUGCAGCUGCAUCCAGACUUCUGACCUCCAGAACUGCAAGCAAAUAAAAGUAUGUGAUUUGGGGCCACCCCGUUUGUGCUCAUUCACUGCUGCCGCAGCCAGAGAAAACCAACACAGAUUUCCACGUUGAGUCUGGGUUUUCCUUUGAGGCUGUGGCUUUUCCUACUGUGAUCGUAGCUCACAGCUGCUGAGUGGGGACAAUGUGUACCAGAUGCUGAGUAGACAUCAUCUCAGUUCUCCCAGUAACCCUGUGGGCCGGGCACUGGCAUUACCCUUAUUCAGGAGAUGGAGGACUAGGCUUGCAACAGUCUGCUGUAACCAGAGGCGGUUUUGAGCCCCAGGGACACUGAGCAAUGCCUGUAGACAUUCAGAUAGUCACAACCAGGUUUGGGGUGCUCCUGGCAUCUAGUGCAGGAGAAGCCAGGGAUGAAUGACAUGUGUGUGUACACAUGUGCAUAUGGGGUGUGUAUGGGGUUGGUGUGUGGCGUGUGUGUGUGUGUCUGUGUGGUGGGGGCCAGGUUAGGGAGAACAGGGGACCUGGCCUCUGCCUCACUUUCCAUCAUGAUCUGCUCCACUGUCCCCCCAAACUGCCUACAUCAGCAAGAGAUGAGAGAGUUACCAGUGUCAUCCCCCUAAAAUUCUACUUUUUCUCACAUUGAUGUCCCCUAUUUCCUGCCCACUAUUAUUGACUGGCACCUCCUCUCUGUUCUCUUCAUGCCUCCCUCCAUCACUGCCUCAGAGCAUACUUUUCUGAUUGGAUGAGGCCCCUGCCGCCAGCUCCGGUACCGAUACAGGUCUCAGCACCAAUGUACACUGGAAAGUGGAAAGUCUGCCCCACCUGAGCAGUGGCUGAGCAGCUUGCUGUUUGCAAAGUGUCACUGCCGGAAAGAAGUGGAUGGCAAGAUGCAUCCUCUACGGGGAUCAUGACCUGACGUGGCCCUCUCGCCUGGUCACCUGGUUAGGCCAAGUCACCAGACAGUCCCUGUGUUCUCACCUGCAAAUUGGGAGUCACUUACUUGAAAUUAAGUAAGAGAUGGAGGAAUCUGUUCCUCCCUCAGAGAUGCAUGAGGUAUUGUGCCACACUGGCUCCUGGCUUCUGGUGACACUGACAUUUCUGGGAUUGUGGCUGCCUUCCUCCCAUCUCUCCCUCUCUUUGUGUGGCCUUCUCUCUCCCAUGUGUCCGAGGGUCAAAUCUCCCUCUGAUUCUCUCUUAUAAAUACUGAUGCUGUUAGGCCCUGCUGGGGUAACCCAAGAUGAUCCUGUCUCAAGAUCCUUAACUCAACUUUUGCCAUUUAAGGGAACAUUCACUCAUAGAACCCUGAAAUUAGGCAACAGAUAUCUUUGGAGGAUCAUUAUUUCAGCCUAGCACAAGGAGGUAGGUACUUUACACAUCUUUACAUUUCAUAUCAAGCCUAAGAAUAGCUAUUAGUUUUGCUGUUUCACAGAUGAGGAAAUUGAGGCUUGGAGACAUUUACUAUGGAAUUUCAGAAAGUUCAUUCCGUUUCUGAGACACCUUGCCAUUUUCAUCUAUAAAAUGAGAAUCGUGCCCUUCCUGACCUAGGCCAGAUGAAAGUAGAGAAUUUUUAUACAAAUUCUUAGCAAAGUAUUAUGCAUUACAGAGAUGCAAGGGGUUAUUUUUUGCCUUGAGUGGAUUUUCUAGAAAGUCUUCACGUGGGAGAGGAGAGAUGACUUGGCUGAGGAUUGUGAGUGAAAUGCCAAAAUAUUUCUAGAAAUCAUCAGUGUCUUAGAGUGCUGAGUCUUCAUUACAAUAGCAAGUGAAAUUCUGAUGUAGAUGCACUUUAAAACAUUCCCUGUUUGAGGAAUCAUGCCUGGAAGCCACUUCCCAAAGAGAGGCAGCAAGAAAUGCUGAAUUCUUUCAAGUUGAAAGUGGGAGAGAUGGCACAUUUUAUUCUUUAGAAUGCUCCUUCUUCGGCUCAUCCUUCUAGGCAUUCUUAACAGUGACGCCUGGUGUGUUUGCAACCCAAUAAUACCAGCUACCAAUUGCUUGCUGUGCACCAAGCUCUGUGGAUUGAAUUCUCACAAAUCAUAGUGUUUUAGUUGACUGAACUUCAUUUGAAUAAGUGGAUUUCGGGGAAUAUGUCUGCUGAGAUACUAAACCUUGAUUGCACUGCAGUGCUGGGAUGGAACCGAGGGCCUCGUGCACAAUGGACAAGUGCUUGACCACGGAGCUCCACCUCAGUCCUUUACUGAGCCUUAGACUUUAUCUUCAUGUGCUCUCUAGACAACUCCUGUGUUAACAUUUGAGGCUUGUAUAGGCCAAGCAUCCCUAAUCUGGAAAUCAAAAGUGCUCCAAAAUCCAAAACUUUCUGAGCACUGACAUGCUGCCAUAGUGGAAGUUCAGUUCCUUGUGGCUACGGAACAGAGACCCUGUGUCGUUGCUGGCUGCUCCCCGCUCCGGGCGGCUGCCCACACUCCUUGUCACACAGUUCCUUCUGCCUUCCAGCCAGCGAUGGCACAUGGGCUCCUCGUUCUCAGAAGCUCUGACUUUUCUGUUGCUGACUUUAGAAGCCUUCAAGGGUGGUCCUGCCAAUCCCU